CAUAACACUAUGUCCUAUAUCACAUUUCAUUCACAUUCAAGUCCAAUAGUCCUCUCUACAUUUAUGAGAGGUAUGCUCUCAUUUUUUCUUUUGGCUGUAUAGAUUAGGCCUCAACAGAAAGCAUUUUGGUUAUCAGUGUGUGCUUGGUCUUGCAUAAUGCAACUUAGGCAACACAUGAGAGACAGACUGCUGAGAGAGGGCAAAUUCUUAGGAUAAAGAAAACAUUCAAAUGACUGAUGAAAAAAUAUUCUAUCAUGUCACCGUUGACAGGUCUUUUGUCAGCCUUGUAAUGCACUGCCACUUACAUAAACAAUCACAAAGCUCUGACAUAACAACGCACCGGAGUUAUAGGACAGUUGCCUGUGUGAACCUUUCACUCAUUGAACUUGGACUGCGUAACAACAGUCACUUCCAUCUGCGCUGAGACAGCAAUGUACUUGAUUGACUUUUAUGUAAGCUAAACACACAAACUGUCACUUAGUUCGAUGAGUUUUUUUGCGAUUAAAAUAAUUGAAACGACAGUGCAUUGGUUGGAAUAGUUUUCCAUUCAGAAGUACAAACCACAAUUCCAAUGAAGUUGGGACGUUGCGUGAAACGCAUAAUGAUAUGAUAUGCAAAUCAUUUUCAAAACACAACUGAACACAUGACAAAGACAUGACAUGAACUUCAGAAGCAAGACCCAAAAUCAACAUCAAAUACCCGUGAUUUUCAAUCCUCGGCAGCAUUGCAUGACAAACUGGCAUGAUAAUGGAAAGGAUACCACAUGGGUUCAGGAACACUUUGAAAAAGCGUUCGCAGGUAACAGUCGCUACAGUACAUUACAAUCAUGGCUGUCGUAUAACUCCCAGGCCAGGGAGGAAAAAGGAUCAUCAGGAAUGUUAGCGGAAAUUUCAAAGACUAGAAUCUGUGAUGGUAAAGGUGUUAUGAGCAUCUAACAUAUGGGGAAUGUUUACAGAUUUGAAGGCACCAUUAAUACCGAAAGAUACAUACAGGCUAUGAAGCAACAGAUGCGACUAUCCAAGCAGGAUGGCUUUGUGAUAAAAGAGUGUGAGUUACAGACUGGGCUGCCAGCAGUCCAGACAUGUCUCAUACAGUGAAACUCCUCUAGAACGAAACCUACAUGGGCGAAAAUACCCUAGUGUGAAAAACUUUUAAUGCAGUAACACCAUUCCCACUCUCCUGCCCCCCAUACAACGGGAAAAAAACAUGUUGCGUUAUACAAAAUCUUUUUUUCUGCUCUUGCCUCGCGACGAAAUUCACUACAACAAAGUCUUAUCCAACAGCGACCUCUAGUGCUUCGUUCGGAAACGGCAAGAGCAACCACCACACUGGUUUACACAUGCGCAGUAGUCCAGGAAGUAUUUAUUAUUGUUAAUUUCAGACGCAGCAAGUUGUAUUGCUAAAAUGGCCACAAAACGGACCUUUUGGAUGUCAAGCAGCUAAGACAAGAGCUCCGACGCUGGAAGAGAGGGUAAAAGUGAUCAAAAUGAAAGACGGAGAAAG
Molecule: long non-coding RNA, 1503 nt
Organism: Hippocampus zosterae (dwarf seahorse)
Lineage: Eukaryota; Metazoa; Chordata; Actinopteri; Syngnathiformes; Syngnathidae
Exons: 2
Source: RefSeq, a predicted model, not a curated record